RNAcentral lists this ribosomal RNA (420 nucleotides) under uncultured Chloroflexota bacterium. RNAcentral describes it as "bacterial SSU rRNA". It matches the Rfam family "Bacterial small subunit ribosomal RNA", at positions 957 to 1391 of the family's 1533-position model. Lineage: Bacteria; Bacillati; Chloroflexota. The record is from RNAcentral.
GAACGCGAAGAACCUUACCUGGGCUUGACAUACAGGUGGUAGGGAUCCGAAAGGUGACCGACCCCUCGGGGAGCCUGUACAGGUGUUGCAUGGCUGUCGUCAGCUCGUGUCGUGAGAUGUCCGGUUAAGUCCGGUAACGAGCGCAACCCUUGCCGUAUGUUACAAGUGUCAUACGGGACUGCCGAUAUAAAGUCGGAGGAAGGUGGGGAUGAAGUCAAGUCAGCAUGACCUUUAUGUCCAGGGCUACACACACGCUACAAUGGCCGGUACAACAGGUUGCAAAACCGCGAGGUGGAGCCAAUCCCUAAAGCCGGUCUCAGUUCGGAUUGUAGGCUGCAACUCGCCUACAUGAAGUCGGAGUUGCUAGUAACCGCGCGUCAGCAUAGUGCGGUGAAUACGUUCCCGGGUCUUGUACACACG